GACGGAGGGUGCUAGCGUUGUUCGGAAUUACUGGGCGUAAAGGGCGCGUAGGCGGCCUUGUUGGUCGGGUGUGAAAGCCCGGGGCUCAACCCCGGAACGGCACCAGAGACGGCAAGGCUCGAGACCGGGAGAGGAGGGUGGAAUAGCCAGUGUAGAGGUGAAAUUCGUAGAUAUUGGCUGGAACACCGGUGGCGAAAGCGGCUCUCUGGUCCGGUUCUGACGCUGAGGCGCGAAAGCGUGGGGAGCAAACAGGA
This 254-nucleotide ribosomal RNA is filed under the name uncultured prokaryote. RNAcentral describes it as "partial 16S ribosomal RNA". It matches the Rfam family "Bacterial small subunit ribosomal RNA", at positions 524 to 777 of the family's 1533-position model. The record is from RNAcentral.